GAUGGAUGGACCCGCGGUGCAUUAGCUAGUUGGUAGGGUAAUGGCUUACCAAGGCAACGAUGCAUAGCCGACCUGAGAGGGUGAUCGGCCACACUGGGACUGAGACACGGCCCAGACUCCUACGGGAGGCAGCAGUAGGCAAUCUUCGGCAAUGGACGAAAGUCUGACCGAGCAACGCCGCGUGAGUGAAGAAGGUUUUCGGAUCGUAAAACUCUGUUGUAGAGAAGAACAAGGAUGAGAGUAAAAUGUUCAUCC
This 255-nucleotide ribosomal RNA is filed under the name uncultured bacterium. RNAcentral describes it as "partial 16S ribosomal RNA". It matches the Rfam family "Bacterial small subunit ribosomal RNA", at positions 220 to 467 of the family's 1533-position model. The record is from RNAcentral.